Long non-coding RNA from Etheostoma cragini (Arkansas darter), 191 nucleotides. RefSeq lists it as uncharacterized. The record is from RefSeq and is a predicted model, not a curated record. The transcript is spliced from 3 exons. NCBI's taxonomy places the organism in Eukaryota, Metazoa, Chordata, Actinopteri, Perciformes, Percidae.
GCCACGUUCAAACUGAAGGUAAAAAAAGAAAUUGGGGGUCAAGUGACCAGGUCAGACUUCUUCAGAAGUAGUGUGAACCCUCAAAUCUAGCACAAAUCAGAUUUUUUCAAAUCAGAUUCAGGCCACUUCCAUAUUUGGUCUUGAAUCAGACGCAGGUCAGAUUAUUUCAAUGCAAAUGCAGUGUGAACAAC